This 229-nucleotide unclassified non-coding RNA is filed under the name uncultured Microbotryomycetes. Its description in RNAcentral is "sequence contains ITS2". The record is from RNAcentral. Lineage: Eukaryota; Fungi; Basidiomycota; Microbotryomycetes.
ACUCUUCAACCCUCCAUUUCCUCGUUUGAAAUGUUUGAGGUGAUUGGAUUUUGAGUACUUGCUUUUUUAUCAAAAUUAGCUUACUCGUAAUACAUUAGCAUAAUUCAACUUCGAACUCGGAUUGACUCGGCGUAAUAGACUAUUCGCUGAGGACAUUGAGAAUUAAUUUUCUCUAAUGGCCGACUUUAGACAAUUUGAAUAGCUUCAAAUACUAUAAACCUUUUUUAAG